Molecule: ribosomal RNA, 506 nt
Filed under: uncultured bacterium
Lineage: Bacteria
Description: partial 16S ribosomal RNA
Rfam family: Bacterial small subunit ribosomal RNA
Source: RNAcentral
GAUGAACGCUAGCUACAGGCUUAACACAUGCAAGUCGAGGGGUAACGAGAGGAAAGCUUGCUUUCCUUGUUGACGACCGGCGCACGGGUGAGUAACGCGUAUCCAACCUGCCCCCAACUAGGGAAUAACCUUGCGAAAGUAAGACUAAUACCCUAUAAUUUCCUCAGAUGUCAUCUGACGAGGAAUAAAGAUUUAUCGGUUGUGGAUGGUGAUGCGUCUGAUUAGCUUGUUGGCGGGGUAACGGCACACCAAGGCAACGAUCAGUAGGGGUUCUGAGAGGAAGGUCCCCCACAUUGGAACUGAGACACGGUCCAAACUCCUACGGGAGGCAGCAGUGAGGAAUAUUGGUCAAUGGGCGGAAGCCUGAACCAGCCAAGUAGCGUGCAGGAUGACGGCCCUAUGGGUUGUAAACUGCUUUUAUACAGGAAUAAAGUUAGCCACGUGUGGUUAUUUGUAGGUACUGUAUGAAUAAGGACCGGCUAAUUCCGUGCCAGCCGCCGCAGUAA